AGAAGCAAAUAAAUGAGAAACUUUUUGUAGAACUGCAUGCACAUCAGGUUGCAAGGGUUGUAAAGAGUAAUAUGAGUUGGGUGAAGACAAAGACGGACAACACUCUUAAGUCCCUGGUUACUAAUCACUGCUAUUUUGUAUAUACCAUAUACUAAAGUGUGUACUAAACACUUAUUCUUUUUCUAAUCCACCUAAGUGUAGCAGUUUCUGGCACAGAGAUCCUAAAAAUCUUUGGAAUGAUGGGAGGAUAUUUUAUUC
Molecule: long non-coding RNA, 258 nt
Organism: Hyaena hyaena (striped hyena)
Lineage: Eukaryota; Metazoa; Chordata; Mammalia; Carnivora; Hyaenidae
Exons: 3
Source: RefSeq, a predicted model, not a curated record